Molecule: small nucleolar RNA, 95 nt
Organism: Hypanus sabinus (Atlantic stingray)
Lineage: Eukaryota; Metazoa; Chordata; Chondrichthyes; Myliobatiformes; Dasyatidae
Product: small nucleolar RNA U83B
Exons: 1
Source: RefSeq, a predicted model, not a curated record
GGAGUAUACUAUGAUGAUAACAUGGAAUAAGUGUUGGUAAUGGCACCUGAUUCUGAUGAGGAACCAUUCCAUGCUGCCUUCCUUCUGACAUCUCC